RNAcentral lists this long non-coding RNA (557 nucleotides) under Rattus norvegicus (Norway rat). RNAcentral describes it as "long non-coding RNA NONRATT013610". Lineage: Eukaryota; Metazoa; Chordata; Mammalia; Rodentia; Muridae. The record is from RNAcentral.
GUUUAAGCUCUUUGAGUCAGGCUGAUGACACUGGUUUCCAAAGGUACUUUCUAAAAAUCAUUUCUGCAGCAGGAAACCAAUGUCUAGACUCAUGGGCAGAGUCAUGGCACACAUCUUGGUUCCCUUAGUGGAGAUCCUCAACACCUGGCCAGUGUCUUGGAGUCCACUGCUGGCCCACCUAUGCCAGGGCUCUCUGGUUUUGCAUAUCUCGAGCUGGAACGGUCCCUGUAACCUGGCCUGUUUGUUGUGGAUCUGCCUGGAGCAUCCAGGAAGGACCUGUUCUCCUCCUCUCUGUUACCUCCAAAUGUUCCUCCUGUCACAUCCCCUGCCCCCAUCCCUUAGUCCUCUCUCUGCUAAGUGGCCAGAGUCCUUAGUCAUCUUUGAACAUGAUGUCCAACAAAACUGUUUUUGGGGGCAGAGUGCCCAGGUCAGUCCCCAGGACUGUGUCAAGGAUCAGCAGCACCAGAACUACGAUAAGACAAACAAGUUGCCUGGGAACACACUCAGCCCUCGGAGAUGCGGGGAGAGUGCAUCCUUUCCUGUACUUUGUUGCCUUA